RNAcentral lists this transfer RNA (76 nucleotides) under compost metagenome. RNAcentral describes it as "tRNA-Met". It matches the Rfam family "tRNA". Rfam says of the family: Transfer RNA (tRNA) molecules are approximately 80 nucleotides in length. Their secondary structure includes four short double-helical elements and three loops (D, anti-codon, and T loops). The record is from RNAcentral.
UGCGUGGUAGCUCAGUCGGUAGAGCGGGGGACUCAUAAUCCUCAUGUCGCAGGUUCGAGUCCUGCCCUCGCAACCA